RNAcentral lists this ribosomal RNA (2958 nucleotides) under activated sludge metagenome. RNAcentral's name for it is "bacterial LSU rRNA". It matches the Rfam family "Bacterial large subunit ribosomal RNA". The record is from RNAcentral.
UCAAGCUCAAAAGGGCACAUGAUGAAUGCCUUGGCAUCAGCAGGCGAAGAAGGACGUGAUAAGCUGCGAUAAGCUCCGGGGAGCGGCAAAUACGCUUUGAUCCGGAGAUGUCCGAAUGGGAAAACCCAGCGGGGAUAAUGCCCCGUUGACGGAGUCUGAAUCCAUAGGGCUCCGCCGCCAACCCCGGGAAGUGAAACAUCUCAGUACCGGGAGGAAAAGAAAACAACAGUGAUUCCCUCAGUAGUGGCGAGCGAAAGGGGAACAGCCCAAACCAACGCACUUGUGCGUUGGGGUAGCGGGACCUCGAUGUGGGACUCCAAUGGAUAGCGGAAGCCGGUGGAAAACGGCGCCAAAGAAGGUGACAGGCCUGUACGCGAAAUCCAAAGGGGCCCUAGAGGCAUCCCAAGUAGCACGGGACACGUGAAACCCCGUGUGAAUCCGGUGCGUCCACGCACUAAGGCUAAAUACUGCUGAUGACCGAUAGUGAACUAGUACCGCGAGGGAAAGGUGAAAAGAACCCCUGCUAGGGGAGUGAAACAGUACCUGAAAUCAUGUGCUUACAAGCUAUGGUAGCCUGCCGCAAGGCGGGUGGCCGUUUGCCUUUUGCAUAAUGAGUCCGCGAGUUAUUGUUGGCAGCAAGGUUAAUCCGCCGUCGGCGGAGAAGCCGAAGCGAAAGCGAGUGCGAAACGUGCGUUCAGUUGCCGGCAAUAGACCCGAAGCCGGGUGAGCUAUCCAUGGGCAGGUUGAAGUCGCUGUAACAGGCGAUGGAGGACCGAACUUAUGAGGGCUGAAAACCUCUAGGAUGACCUGUGGAUUGGAGCGAAAGACUUAUCAAACUCGGUGAUAGCUGGUUCUCCUCGAAAUAACUUUAGGGUUAGCCUGCACGAAUGCUCGCCGCGGAGGUAGAGCACUGAAUGGACUAGGGGCCUUACCGGGUUUCCAACGCCAAUCAAACUCCGAAUACCGCGGCAGUCACGUGUGGAGAUAGACUGUGGGGGAUAAGCUUCAUAGUCAAAAUGGAAACAGCCUAGACCGCCAGUUAAGGCCCCUAAAACCGGUUCAGUGACUAAGGAUGUACGAUUGCUAAAACAGCUAGGAUGUUGGCUUAGAGGCAGCCAUCAUUUAAACAGUGCGUAACAGCUGACUAGUCGAGCGAUUGUGCGCCGAAAAUGAUCGGGACUAAACCGGUUGCCGAAGCUGCGGAUUUCUCCCGCCUGCGGGUGGGAGAAGUGGUAGAGGAGCGUUGUAUCAGCAUUGAAGCGUUCGGGUGACCGGGCGUGGAGCGGAUACAAGUGAUUAUGCGGACAUGAGUAACGAAUAGCCGGGCGAGAAUCCCGGCCGCCGUAAUCCCAAGAUUUCCUGGGGAAGGUUCGUCCGCCCAGGGUUAGUCGGCCCCUAAGUCCAGGCCAUUCAGGCGUAGGCGAUGGGAAGCAGGUUCAAUAUUCCUGCACCGCCGAUGGGCGAUUAAGACGCGAUGGAGUACUCGGAAAGUUAGAUCAGCCGUCGAUUGGAAGUGACGGUUCAAGCCCGUAGGGGUGUGGCCAGGCAAAUCCGGCCGCGCAACCUGAAAGGUGAUGAGACGUGGAGGCUUCGGCCGAAGCGGAUUGAUUGACACUCGGCCGACAAGAAAAGCUUCUAGCGAGCCCAUAGGCGACCGUAUCGGAAACCGACACAGGUGGGAGGGUAGAAUAUACCAAGGCGCGCGAGAGAAACCUCGUUAAGGAACUCGGCAAUCUAGCCCCGUAACUUCGGAAGAAGGGGUCCUGCAGACCGUCAGUUUAACUACGAAGCGGACCGCAGGCGCAGUGAAAGGGCCCAGGCGACUGUUUAUCAAAAACACAGCACUAUGCCAACUCGCAAGAGGAUGUAUAUGGUGUGACACGUGACCAAUGCCGUAAGGUUAAGGCAAGGGGUUAGCCGCAAGGCGAAGCUCUGAACCGAAGCCCCGGUGAAUGUCGGCCGUAACUAUAACGGUCCUAAGGUAGCGAAAUUCCUUGUCGGGUAAGUUCCGACCUGCACGAAUCGUGUAACGAUCUGGGCGCUGUCUCAACGAGGAUCUCGGUGAAGUUGUAAUUCCGGUGAAAAUGCCGGAUACCCGCAGUAGGACGGUAAGACCCUGUGAACCUUUACUGUAAUCUGAUAUUGGGUUUUGGUUGGUUAUAUGUAGCAUAGCUGGGAGGCUGUGAAGCGAUCUCGUCAGGGACCGCGGAGCCGUCAGUGAAAUACCAGUUUUAAUUAACCGGAAUUCUAACCGCGAGCCGUGCAACCGGCUCCGGGACCGUGUCAGAGGGUCAGUUUGACUGGGGCGGUUUCCUCCCAAAAGAUAACGGAGGAGUUCUAAGGUCACCUCAGCAUGGUCGGCAAUCAUGCGUAGAGCGUAUAGGUAGAAGGUGGCUUGACUGCGAGACCCACAAGUCGAGCAGGUGCGAAAGCAGGACUAAGUGAUCCGGCGGUUGCUAGUGGUAGCGCCGUCGCUCAACGGACAAAAGGUACUCCGGGGAUAACAGGCUUAUCGCCGCCAAGAGUCCAUAUCGACGCGGCGGUUUGGCACCUCGAUGUCGGCUCAUCACAUCCUGGGGCUGAAGAAGGUCCCAAGGGUUUGGCUGUUCGCCAAUUAAAGUGGUACGCGAGCUGGGUUCAAAACGUCGUGAGACAGUUUGGUCCAUAUCCACUGUGGGCGUUGGAGAUUUGAGGAGAACAUUCCUUAGUACGAGAGGACCGGGAAUGACGCACCUCUGGUGUUUCGGUUGUCGCGCCAGCGGCAUCGCCGAGUAGCUAUGUGCGGAAUGGAUAAGCUCUGAAUGCAUCUAAGAGCCAAGCCGACUUCAAGAUUGGAUCUCCCUUGCUGGUUCGCCAGCACUAAAGGCCGGUUGAAGACUACGACCUUGAUAGGGCGGGUGUGUACGUGCUGCGAGGCAUUUAGCUAACCGCUACUAAUCAGCCGUGAGGCUUGACCAU